AAGUCGUAACAAGGUCUCCGUAGGUGAACCUGCGGAGGGAUCAUUACCGAGUGGAGGGCGCUCCGGCGCCCGACCUCCCAACCCUUUGAUUUGAUCAAGACCUCUUCUGCCUCGGGGGUGACCCGGCCCUCCCAACGUGGGGGCGACCCGGUCCUCCCGGUGGUCCAACACAUAUAACCCUGCAUCAAUUGUCGUCGGAUAUUGAAGCGAAUUCAAUCAAAACUUUCAACAACGGAUCUCUUGGUUCUG
RNAcentral lists this unclassified non-coding RNA (249 nucleotides) under air metagenome. RNAcentral's name for it is "partial contains small subunit ribosomal RNA, internal transcribed spacer 1, and 5.8S ribosomal RNA". The stretch from base 1 to 46 matches the Rfam family "Eukaryotic small subunit ribosomal RNA", at positions 1786 to 1831 of the family's 1831-position model. The record is from RNAcentral.